Molecule: unclassified non-coding RNA, 338 nt
Filed under: soil metagenome
Description: partial contains 5.8S ribosomal RNA, internal transcribed spacer 2, and large subunit ribosomal RNA
Rfam family: 5.8S ribosomal RNA (bases 1-120)
Source: RNAcentral
GAUGAAGAACGCAGCGAAAUGCGAUAAGUAAUGUGAAUUGCAGAAUUCAGUGAAUCAUCGAAUCUUUGAACGCACAUUGCGCCCCUUGGUAUUCCAUGGGGCAUGCCUGUUCGAGCGUCAUUUACACCCUCAAGCUCUGCUUGGUGUUGGGCGUCUGUCCCGCUGCUUUGCGCGGACUCGCCUCAAAGGUAUUGGCAGCGAUCAUGCCAGCUUCUCGCGCAGCACAUUGCGCUUCUUGAAGUUCUGGUGGAUCAGCGUCCAUUAAGCUUACCUUCAUGACUUGACCUCGGAUCAGGUAGGGAUACCCGCUGAACUUAAGCAUAUCAAUAAGCGGAGGA